RNAcentral lists this ribosomal RNA (317 nucleotides) under uncultured bacterium. RNAcentral describes it as "bacterial SSU rRNA". It matches the Rfam family "Bacterial small subunit ribosomal RNA", at positions 28 to 334 of the family's 1533-position model. The record is from RNAcentral.
GAUGAACGCUGGCGGCGUGCCUAAUACAUGCAAGUCGAGCGAACGGGCGAGAAGCUUGCUUCUCUGAUGUUAGCGGCGGACGGGUGAGUAACACGUGGAUAACCUACCUAUAAGACUGGGAUAACUUCGGGAAACCGGAGCUAAUACCGGAUAAUAUUUUGAACCGCAUGGUUCAAAAGUGAAAGACGGUCUUGCUGUCACUUAUAGAUGGAUCCGCGCUGCAUUAGCUAGUUGGUAAGGUAACGGCUUACCAAGGCAAUGAUGCAUAGCCGAGUUGAGAGACUGAUCGGCCACAUUGGGACUGAGACACGGCCCAA